GCCGCGAGAGGCCGGCGAAAGCUAUCUUCCUGCACCGGCGGCCGGGUGAGGGCGGUGGGAGGGCGCGGUGCCUGCGCUGUGGCCAUGUCUGUGUACGCAGGGGGCCGGGGCCCCGCGAAGCUGUGCCCUCAGGCCGGCCCCGGCCGGACACCCUUACCCCUCCAUGGGUCCGGCAGAGGGCAGUGACCGGCACCUUCUGUGCGUCCUGGACCCCUCUGAGAAACAGGAUUGGUACCUGGAAUGGAUCCCCUCUUGGGUGAACUGUAUGUUGCCUGACAAGUGAGGAUCCUUCAGCCUGCCAUUGAAGGACCCUAGAGGCCAAAUAAGCCUUGCUACCAGCCUCGGAGAGCUCAAAGGAUGGCUACUGACAUGCAGAGGAAGAGAAGCAGCGAAUGCCUUGAUGGCACAUUGACUCCUUCUGAUGGACAGAGUAUGGAGAGAGCUGAGAGCCCCACACCAGGAAUGGCCCAGGGAAUGGAGCCAGGUGCGGGGCAGGAGGGUGCCAUGUUCGUCCAUGCCCGUUCCUACGAGGACCUGACUGAGUCAGAGGAUGGGGCAGCUUCUGGGGACAGCCACAAGGAGGGUACCAGGGGUCCCCCGCCGCUGCCUACAGACAUGCGCCAGAUCAGCCAGGACUUUAGCGAGCUAAGCACCCAGCUGACGGGUGUGGCCCGGGACCUGCAGGAGGAGAUGCUGCCAGGAAGCUCUGAGGAUUGGCUGGAACCCCCAGGGGCAGUUGGGCGACCAGCCACAGAGCCCCCCAGGGAGGGCACAACCGAGGGGGAUGAGGAGGAUGCCACGGAGGCAUGGCGCCUGCACCAGAAGCAUGUCUUUGUGCUGAGUGAGGCAGGGAAGCCUGUGUACUCCCGCUAUGG
Molecule: small RNA, 875 nt
Filed under: Pan troglodytes (chimpanzee)
Lineage: Eukaryota; Metazoa; Chordata; Mammalia; Primates; Hominidae
Description: processed transcript
Source: RNAcentral